AUGAAUAAAUGGCGAAAACAAUAUAAUUAUAACAUAUAUUUUUAUUUUACUUAUUUUAGGUCUGUGAAGCCAAACUUGAUGCUGGGGAUUUAUUUUUGUCAGUGGAGUCAAAUGGUUGAAGCAGAAUUUGCCCGUCUUACAUCUGUUGACCUGAAAGGGUUCCUUUUUGCUGUGCUUGACCAUUAUGGAGAGGUUCGUGGAGCUGUACAAAAUCAAGAGCGGCAUAGGAGGGCUAACUAGGCUCAUAAGAUGCUUCGGAGAUGAUGUAAGUGUUCAACUGUGAAAUCUAAUCCUUUGUUUAAGUUUUAGGUUAUCCAGUUCAACUGAUGAACUCAUUGAAAGAAAGCUGAUAAGUAAAGUCUGUCAUCAUAUUUCACAACUGGACAUUUAGUGUGGUAACUUUUACAGAAUCUGUGUAUAUUGGUGGUAGGUUGGAUAUCAUAUUCUACUUGAAUGUCCUGAUAAGCCUGAUUCAAAAUCUCCAAUGAUAAUCAUAUAUUGAUGGAAUUAUGUAUCAAAAAGCUGUGAAUUUGGAGCUGUCUACAUGCUUCAUAAACACUGUUUAAAAAAUGUUUUUGUUUUCUUUUUGACUUCUUUGACCAGAGCCCUACACAAAGGAAGAGGACAGAGGACCUCAUUUUCUAAAGGAAGAUCCCUCACACACUUUCAAGACUGUGAAGGUUAGCAUUGUUUCUUUUAGUAAAUUUAAUAAUGACAGCACCACAGUGGAUUUUAAAUGAAACAUGUGGCAUCUAUGAAACAAUAGAUGCCACAUGAUAACAUGUGUACUUUUUCCUCACCAAAUGUAUUAUUACAAGAUCUUUGACACUGGAUUUGGUCUGGGUUUCAGAGAAACUAACUGGCAAGCUAGCAUUGAUAUUAUUAGUGUCUUGUGUUUAUUCAUGUCUUCACCAGGGUCUUUGACAUUUCGCUGCUGUACUGUUCACUUCAGCUUUACGUUUGAU
RNAcentral lists this long non-coding RNA (965 nucleotides) under Oreochromis niloticus (Nile tilapia). RNAcentral's name for it is "lncRNA (ENSONIG00000035335.1)". Lineage: Eukaryota; Metazoa; Chordata; Actinopteri; Cichliformes; Cichlidae. The record is from RNAcentral.